GUCUAACAUGUGCGCGAGUCGCAGGGUUGACUCGCAAGUUGAAACCCGAAGGCGAAAUGAAAGUGAAAGUCGGUGCGUCUGGCCGACUGAGGCGGGAUCCGUCCGGGUAUCGCUGUAGCCCUUGAGGGGGCUGCGGGAGCCCGGCGGCGCACCGCCGGCCCGUCUCGACCGCUUCCUGUCGGCGAGGCGGAGCAAGAGCGCACACGUUGGGACCCGAAAGAUGGUGAACUAUGCUCGGGCAGGACGAAGCCAGAGGAAACUCUGGUGGAGGUCCGUAGCGAUUCUGACGUGCAAAUCGAUCGUCGGACCUGAGUAUAGGGGCGAAAGACUAAUCGAACCGUCUAGUAGCUGGUUCCCUCCGAAGUUUCCCUCAGGAUAGCUGGUGCUCGGUGAGGAACGCAGUCUCAUCCGGUAAAGCGAAUGAUUAGAGGCCUUGGGGCCGAAUCGACCUCAACCUAUUCUCAAACUUUCAAUGGGUGAGAAGUCCGGCUUGCCUGACUGAAGCCCGGACCAAAUCUGAUCCGACAGGGUGUCGAUCUGACAGUGUUGUCGGGGAGUAAAAUCCUCGGCAACCUGGCUGCGGCCCUGCUCGGUACGGAUGCGAGUGCCCAGUGGGCCAAUUUUGGUAAGCAGAACUGGCGCUGUGGGAUGAACCAAACGCCGGGUUACGGCGCCCGAUGCGGACGCUCAUCAGACCCCAUGAAAGGUGUUGGUUGCUAUAGACAGCAGGACGGUGGCCAUGGAAGUCGGAAUCCGCUAAGGAGUGUGUAACAACUCACCUGCCGAAGCAACUAGCCCUGAAAAUGGAUGGCGCUCCAGCGUCGAGCCGAUACCCGGCCGCCGGGGCAGAGACUUUGUGGCGAUCCUACAAAAGAAAUGCCCCGGUGAGUAGGAGGGUCGCGGCGGUGUGCGUCGAAGGUGUCGGGCGUAGGCCCGCCUGGAGCCACCGCCGGUGCAGAUCUUGGUGGUAGUAGCAAAUACUCGAGUGAGAACCUUGAGGACUGAAGUGGAGAAGGGUUCCAUGUGAACAGCAGUUGAACAUGGGUCAGUCGGCCCUAAGGAAUAGGGGAAACCCGUUCCGAAGCGGGGUGUUCGUGCAACACGACCCCGGCUGACCGAAAGGGAAUCGGGUUAAUAUUCCCGAACCCGGAUGCGGAAGUCGGACCCUUCGGGGUCCAAUGCGGUAACGCAAACGAACUCGGAGACGUCGGCGGGAGUCCCGGGAAGAGUUGUCUUUUCUUUGUAAGGGACGGACUCCCUGGAAUCGGCUCGACCGGAGAGAGGGAUGUUGUUCCCGUAAAGCACCGCGGCUCUUGCGGUGUCCGGAGCGCUCCCGCCGGCCCUUGAAAAUCCGAGGGAGAGAAUUUGAUUUUCGCACCGGACCGUACCCAUAUCCGCAGCA
RNAcentral lists this ribosomal RNA (1402 nucleotides) under Scolopendra subspinipes subspinipes. Its description in RNAcentral is "eukaryotic LSU rRNA". It matches the Rfam family "Eukaryotic large subunit ribosomal RNA", at positions 673 to 1861 of the family's 3401-position model. Lineage: Eukaryota; Metazoa; Arthropoda; Chilopoda; Scolopendromorpha; Scolopendridae. The record is from RNAcentral.